AAUAGAUACCCGGGUAGUCCACGCCGUAAACGGUGGGCACUAGGUGUGGGACUCAUUCCACGAGUUCCGUGCCGUAGCUAACGCAUUAAGUGCCCCGCCUGGGGAGUACGGCCGCAAGGCUAAAACUCAAAGGAAUUGACGGGGGGCCCGCACAAGCGGCGGAGCAUGCGGAUUAAUUCGAUGCAACGCGAAGAACCUUACCUGGGUUUGACAUAUACCGGAAAGCUGCAGAGAUGUAGCCCCCGCAAGGUCGGUAUACAGGUGGUGCAUGGCUGUCGUCAGCUCGUGUCGUGAGAUGUUGGGUUAAGUCCCGCAACGAGCGCAACCCUCGUCCUAUGUUGCCAGCGGAUAAUGCCGGGGACUCAUAGGAGACUGCCGGGGUCAACUCGGAGGAAGGUGGGGAUGACGUCAAGUCAUCAUGCCCCUUAAGUCCAGGGCUUCACGCAUGCUACAAUGGCUGGUACAAAGGGCUGCAAUGCCGCAAGGUUGAGCGAAUCCCAAAAAGCCAGUCUCAGUUCGGAUUGGGGUCUG
This 531-nucleotide ribosomal RNA is filed under the name uncultured bacterium. RNAcentral describes it as "bacterial SSU rRNA". It matches the Rfam family "Bacterial small subunit ribosomal RNA", at positions 777 to 1307 of the family's 1533-position model. The record is from RNAcentral.